This 1027-nucleotide ribosomal RNA is filed under the name Micrococcus luteus. RNAcentral describes it as "bacterial LSU rRNA". It matches the Rfam family "Bacterial large subunit ribosomal RNA", at positions 352 to 1375 of the family's 2925-position model. Lineage: Bacteria; Bacillati; Actinomycetota; Actinomycetes; Micrococcales; Micrococcaceae. The record is from RNAcentral.
CCGCCAUAGUGGGUGAUAGCCCCGUAUAUGAAAAAUCUCUUAGUCAUGAAAUCGAGUAGGACGGCGGGACACGUGRWAYCYUGUCUGAAUAUGGGGGGGACCAUCCUCCAAGGCUAAAUACUCCUGACUGACCGAUAGUGAACCAGUACCGUGAGGGAAAGGCGAAAAAGAACCCCGGCGAGGGGAGUGAAAAAGAACCUGAAACCGUGUACGUACAAGCAGUGGGAGCACCUUCGUGGUGUGACUGCGUACCUUUUUGUAUAAUGGGGUCAGCGACUUAUAUUCUGUAGCAAGGUUUAACCGUAUAGGGGAGCCGAAGGGAAACCGAGUCUUAACUGGGCGUUAAGUUGCAGGGUAUAGACCCGAAACCCGGUGAUCUAGCCAUGGGCAGGUUGAAGGUUGGGUAACACUAACUGGAGGACCGAACCGACUAAUGUUGAAAAAUUAGCGGAUGACCUGUGGCUGGGGGUGAAAGGCCAAUCAAACCGGGAGAUAGCUGGUUCUCCCCGAAAGCUAUUUAGGUAGCGCCUCGUGAACUCAUCUUCGGGGGGUAGAGCACUGUUUCGGCUAGGGGGCCAUCCCGGCUUACCAACCCGAUGCAAACUACGAAUACCGAAGAAUGUUAUCACGGGAGACACACGGCGGGUGCUAACGUCCGUCGUGAAGAGGGAAACAACCCAGACCGCCAGCUAAGGUCCCAAAGUCAUGGUUAAGUGGGAAACGAUGUGGGAAGGCCCAGACAGCCAGGAUGUUGGCUUAGAAGCAGCCAUCAUUUAAAGAAAGCGUAAUAGCUCACUGGUCGAGUCGGCCUGCGCGGAAGAUGUAACGGGGCUAAACCAUGCACCGAAGCUGCGGCAGCGACRCUUAUGYGUUGUUGGGUAGGGGAGCGUUCUGUAAGCCGUUGAAGGUGGCCUGUGAGGGCUGCUGGAGGUAUCAGAAGUGCGAAUGCUGACAUAAGUAACGAUAAAAGCGGGUGAAAAGCCCGCUCGCCGGAAGACCAAGGGUUCCUGUCCAACGUUAAUCGGGG